Molecule: long non-coding RNA, 1204 nt
Organism: Lolium rigidum
Lineage: Eukaryota; Viridiplantae; Streptophyta; Magnoliopsida; Poales; Poaceae
Exons: 3
Source: RefSeq, a predicted model, not a curated record
CAAAGUUCCGAUUUUUUCUUCUUCUUUAUGUUAGGGUCAAAAUCUGUUUUGGUAUUACUAGAUUCACUCAAAUUUAGUUGUUUCCGUGAGUAAUUACAUUGUGCAUUUGCACUUUUAAUAAUUUUUAUAGGUUAUUAUAUACUUUAGAACCCUAAUUUAGAUCGGUGGUACAAAAUCUUAAAUUUAGUCUACUUGAGCAAUUCCUAUUACUGAUUUUUUUCAUUUGAGAUCAUAAGAAGGUUACUUGAUGGAUGGAGGAUUUGUAACAAUACAUUCAAUCAAAGCAAUGAUAACAUCAGUUUGUUCCGUAUCAAUUAAAUUGAGCAAAGCAAAUAUUAUUCAGCUCAGUUCUAUGGUCUCAUCCAUGCUCAUUUGGUGGUUCCUAAAGUUUAUUAUUGGCUUUGGAAGUCCUGUUGCAUUAUGAAGACAAAGGUCUAUGCAUGGUUGCUUUUAAAGGAUCGAUUAAAUGCAAAUGGCCUUCUGGUUCGUAUGAAUUGGAAGGUAGCUGAAGAUUCUCACUGUGUUCUUGGCCCUCUGAAAACGCAUGAAGAUAGAUUGCAUCUCUUUUAUGGGUGCAAUUUCAGUCAACUGGUACUAUUUGCAAGUGGACUGGAUACAAAACGAUGAUCUGCAGAUUGUACUGUCAAGAAGAGCUUUCCCAAACCAUUCUUUAUGGAGUGCUAUGCAAAAAAAAUUCAGGCAUGAUCAGCCAUCGUUUUCUAGAUGGAAGUGUGGCUUUACUCAUGACAUGUCUCUGCUUAGGCAUAGACUUAAGGCAAACCAUCUGGUAACUGCUCUUUGUGGGAAUGCAUACUCCUUUUGCUACUCAAACUGAGGAAAUUAAAGCAAUUGCAGCACUGUACUGCAGAUGUUGAGUUCGGGGUAUCUCAUGAAAGUGUUUUACUCAUUGACACUCAGUAGCCAGUAUGCAGUCCGUCCAUCCUACUUGUUAGGAUGAGGCAUGGUGGUUCUUCCACACUUCCUGUUCUUAACGACGAUCCAUUAUCAGAGGCUUGGCCCAUGAUCUAAUGGGAAUCCAGGUUAAUGUUUUACUUUAGUUUUCACAUUUGAUUGUGUUGCCACUAGCUUUACCUUCAGAAUACCCAAUACCUGAUCAGUAUUUUUUUGUUGUUCUACAAGGAAUUUCUAUAAAUGGUGUUUUCUUGGCAUCAUCUGUAAUAUUUGUUGGUCGUGUUGGAAGAGU